Molecule: unclassified non-coding RNA, 232 nt
Filed under: fungal sp.
Lineage: Eukaryota; Fungi
Description: partial internal transcribed spacer region
Rfam family: Eukaryotic small subunit ribosomal RNA (bases 1-46)
Source: RNAcentral
AAGUCGUAACAAGGUUUCCGUAGGUGAACCUGCGGAAGGAUCAUUAUUAUUUGGAUCGAGUUUACUUCUCGAAAAGAGGUAAACUUCUGCCAAAUAUGAAUUUUGAAUCCUAUAUUCCUAUAGGAGCAAGAUGAACAACAUAUUUAAAACCCACACUUUGAAUGUAUUUUUUAUAUAUAUUUUGAAUGAUAAAAUUUAAAGAUCACUUUCAACAACGGAUCUCUUGGCUCUC